AGAUUGUAGGCUGAAACUCGCCUAUAUGAAGUCGGAAUUGCUAGUAAUCGCGGAUCAGCAUGCCGCGGUGAAUACGUUCCCGGGCCUUGUACACACCGCCCGUCACACCAUGAGAGUCGAUAACACCCGAAGCCUGUAGUCUAACAGCAAUGAGGACGCAGUCGAAGGUGGGAUUGAUAAUUAGGGUGAAGUCGUAACAAGGUAAC
This 206-nucleotide ribosomal RNA is filed under the name uncultured bacterium. RNAcentral describes it as "partial 16S ribosomal RNA". It matches the Rfam family "Bacterial small subunit ribosomal RNA", at positions 1295 to 1500 of the family's 1533-position model. The record is from RNAcentral.